Molecule: long non-coding RNA, 409 nt
Organism: Sinocyclocheilus rhinocerous
Lineage: Eukaryota; Metazoa; Chordata; Actinopteri; Cypriniformes; Cyprinidae
Exons: 3
Source: RefSeq, a predicted model, not a curated record
CCGAGCAGCCUCCUGAAGAGCCCAGCAGCGAGAAUUCAGACAGCAGCAGUCAGUCUCCCCAGUUCCUGUUUCCGCCACGACUCGGGAAGCAUCCCUUUCGUUAAAACAUACGCGCUGUGGAGAUACUAGUACGCCAGUGCCAAAUCAAGGGGGAGGGAAUCGUCCUUGCAUGUCCCAGCUUAGCUUUUUAUAGGACACGCAGUCUGGACCAGAAUCCCUUGCAGAGUCUCUAGAGGAAUAAGAACUCAUCAGAGCCAUUGGUUCCCUGAAGUGUAGUCUCAUAAGCGAAGUCUUAAGGGAUCUCAAAACCCUCCGCCCCUUCUCUGUGAGGGGCCGCUGCCAUGAUAUAACCUCCAAGUCUCUAAGUGCACACGCAAGCGAGACCCAGUGACCCCUGACGCCCCCCUUC